This 25-nucleotide non-coding RNA is filed under the name Cricetulus griseus (Chinese hamster). The record is from RNAcentral. Lineage: Eukaryota; Metazoa; Chordata; Mammalia; Rodentia; Cricetidae.
CCCGGCCAAUGCAAAGAGAACUUUU